GACGAACGCUGGCGGCGUGCCUAAUACAUGCAAGUAGAACGCCGAAGGAGGAGCUUGCUUCUCUGGAUGAGUUGCGAACGGGUGAGUAACGCGUAGGUAACCUGCCUGGUAGCGGGGGAUAACUAUUGGAAACGAUAGCUAGUACCGCAUAAUAGCAGUUGUUGCAUGACAACUGUUUGAAAGGUGCAAUUGCACCACUACCAGAUGGACCUGCGUUGUAUUAGCUAGUUGGUGGGGUAACGGCUCACCAAGGCGACGAUACAUAGCCGACCUGAGAGGGUGAUCGGCCACACUGGGACUGAGACACGGCCCAGACUCCUACGGGAGGCAGCAGUAGGGAAUCUUCGGCAAUGGACGGAAGUCUGACCGAGCAACGCCGCGUGAGUGAAGAAGGUUUUCGGAUCGUAAAGCUCUGUUGUAAGAGAAGAACGAGUGUGAGAGUGGAAAGUUCACACUGUGACGGUAUCUUACCAGAAAGGGACGGCUAACUACGUG
Molecule: ribosomal RNA, 495 nt
Filed under: uncultured bacterium
Lineage: Bacteria
Description: partial 16S ribosomal RNA
Rfam family: Bacterial small subunit ribosomal RNA
Source: RNAcentral